This 363-nucleotide transfer-messenger RNA is filed under the name Candidatus Saccharimonadota bacterium. It matches the Rfam family "transfer-messenger RNA". From Rfam's summary of the family: Bacterial tmRNA, also known as 10Sa RNA or SsrA, is named for its dual tRNA and mRNA-like properties. Its role is to liberate the mRNA from a stalled ribosome. To accomplish this part of the tmRNA is used as a reading frame that ends in a translation stop signal. Lineage: Bacteria; Candidatus Saccharimonadota. The record is from RNAcentral.
GGGGCUGACAAAGCUUAGACGGUUUAUUAACAGAUAUCAAGCACGACGAUUGAUACCGUAAGUAUUGAAUAAAUGAAGAAAAAACUUCGAAACAUGUGCUUUAUGCACCUGUUUAUGCCUAGUAUUAUAAUUUUUUAGGCUGGUUUAGAGGUCGAGUUUCCAUAGAACUCUAAAUUAUCAUAAACUUAUGGGAAUGGAAUUUGCCUUUUGACAGGGGCAGAUUCGAGAUCUAGUCAUGGCGUCUUUUAGGUUUCGUUCUUUGUCGCCUAUCUGAUAAGCCAAGAAUAAAAACAGAGAACUAUGCGUGUAGAAUGGUAUCCAUAAAUACUCCGGACGGGGAGGCAGUAUCCCCCAGCUCCACCA